AGAAGCUGUUAGUAUUUAUCAGUUAAUACCGCGGUUGCGAGUACUGUUAUAGAUAUUUUUGAGAUACAUCGCACUCUGCUGUCUUCAACGGAGAAGUAAACUCUACGAAUGAACACAGUGGAAUGGAACGCAUGAAAAUCUACCGUUAAAGAAAAGGUGAAAUGCGCAUGCGUGGAUUUCGACGAAGAUAUUAUUUUACGAAUAUUUUUCCGUGGGAAGUAACCACAUGUCGAGUUUUUUUCAUCAUAUAUUGAUCACUUACUCCUCGUCUUCUUCGGGAGUAGGUGACAAAUUAUGAGUAUAUCGAUCGCAUUACGUGCUACCUUAUACUCCGUUUAUAUGAUUAAACAAUUUGCAUGGCGAUUUUCUUUGGUAAAGAAAAAUGAUACAAUUAUAUAUAAUGUUAUAUGAUUAUAUAAUUCGCAAGUGCUCCUAUGCGAGAUGAGGUUUCAAGACAGUCACAAAAUAUUGUGCAGUCAAACGUAACUCAUUAAACUCAGGAUCAUUUGUAUAAUGAGUAUCUCCUUCCAUGAACGGUACUUCAGCUAUAAUAGAAUUAUAUUACUCGCUGUUGGCUUAUGGCCUUAUCAACAAUCAAAGCUUGUUGGAUUUCAGACAGCAUUAUUUCUUAGUAUUUUGACAAGUUUCGUCGUCUUCUUGUUUUCAAGACUGUCUUUUGCGGACUACUCCUUUGAAUUUAAUAUUCAGUUGCUUUGUAUGUCAACAUAUUAUACUUUUCUUAUAAUAAAGCAUCUCUCCUUUUGGAUUAACAUAGAACCUAUACGAUAUUUAUUGGAGCAAUUUCAAUACAUCUACAAGACGCUAAAGAAUUCGAAAGAAAUUGCUAUCUAUGACAAGUAUGCGAUCAUUGCAAAACGAAUAACGAUCGGCCUUACAAUAGUUGCAAUAUACAAUCUGGCUUGUUUUAUUGUAAUGCUUUGUUGGCCAUAUAUUCUUGAUAUAAUAAUGCCCAAAAAUGAGACCUACGUGCAGCGCUUUAUAGUACAUAUGACUAAAGACUUCGCCAUACAAGAAAAAUAUUUCUAUUUAUUUCUUCUGCAUCUAUACGUAGCCAGUGCUGUUGGAGGAGUUUCAUUUUUAGCGACAGGAACAAUGAUGUUAUCAUGUCUCAAACAUAUCUGUGGAAUAUUGAGAAUUGCAAGCUACCGCUUUGACCGAGCAAUACCGGCCACGUUACAAAGUAUUACCUUAAAAAAUGAAACUAUUAUUUACAAGGAGUUAAUCUAUGCCGUAGACAUACAUCGCAAAGCCACGGAGUGUGCUAUAUUUUUUAUGAAUAACAUAGGACGAUCACUUUUCGUUAUUACAAUGAUUACUGUGUUUUGCAUGAGCUUGAAUCUUUAUGGAAUAUUUCAAGUUAAAUCAUCUUUGCAAGAAAUAGAAAAGACAAUGGGACAUCUUCUUUUUGUCAUUUUUCUUUUUAUAUACAUGUUUGCAGGCAACUACGCUGGACAGGAAAUUACGGAUUGUAAUAAUCAUAUAUUUCUUACAGUAUACAAUGCUCCAUGGUACUUAGCACCAUUGCAGAUACAAAAGUUGACCUUGUUUUUAUUACAAAGAAGUAACAAAGCUUUCACAUUGAGUAUCGGUGGAUUAUUCACAUUAUCUAUAGAGAGCUGUGCUUCGCUACUAAGUGCAUCAAUAUCUUAUUUUACUGUUAUGCUAUCUUUCUAAUAAUAACGAAAAUAUAACACAUCCAAUAAUAUCGUAUACUAGAAUAGAGGAAAUAGAUAUUAAUCUGGACGAAAAUGCCGACAGUCUCUAUUGAGCUUAAACAAUUAGGAAGAUGAUAAGAAGAUUGUACAAUCAGAUUAGAUGACACAAUCAGGUCUGAAAUGUUUCUCACGUUAAAAGUAUAAAGUUUAUCAUUUACAUAAAAUUUGCAGAUAACAAGAAAUACAAUAGUGAUUAAUAAGUGAAAUAUUAUAAUAUAUUACUUAUUACUGUAUUUAAAUGUUAUAUAAAAUGUUAUAGAAAUGUUUAUAUA
Molecule: unclassified non-coding RNA, 2008 nt
Filed under: Ooceraea biroi (clonal raider ant)
Lineage: Eukaryota; Metazoa; Arthropoda; Insecta; Hymenoptera; Formicidae
Description: uncharacterized LOC105283336, transcript variant X2
Source: RNAcentral